RNAcentral lists this ribosomal RNA (279 nucleotides) under uncultured bacterium. RNAcentral's name for it is "partial 16S ribosomal RNA". It matches the Rfam family "Bacterial small subunit ribosomal RNA", at positions 506 to 784 of the family's 1533-position model. The record is from RNAcentral.
UGCUAGCAGCCGCGGUAAUACGGAGGGGGUUAGCGUUGUUCGGAAUUACUGGGCGUAAAGCGCACGUAGGCGGACUAGUCAGUCAGAGGUGAAAUCCCAGGGCUCAACCCUGGAACUGCCUUUGAUACUGCUAGUCUUGAGUUCGAGAGAGGUGAGUGGAAUUCCAGGUGUAGGAGUGAAAUCCGUAGAUAUUCGGAGGAACACCAGUGGCGAAGGCGGCUCACUGGCUCGAUACUGACGCUGAGACGCGAAAGCGUGGGGAGCAAACAGGAUUAGAUA